This 425-nucleotide ribosomal RNA is filed under the name uncultured bacterium. RNAcentral describes it as "partial 16S ribosomal RNA". It matches the Rfam family "Bacterial small subunit ribosomal RNA", at positions 354 to 796 of the family's 1533-position model. The record is from RNAcentral.
GUGGGGAAUCUUGCGCAAUGGGCGAAAGCCUGACGCAGCCAUGCCGCGUGAAUGAUGAAGGUCUUAGGAUUGUAAAAUUCUUUCACCGGGGACGAUAAUGACGGUACCCGGAGAAGAAGCUCCGGCUAACUUCGUGCCAGCAGCCGCGGUAAUACGAAGGGGGCUAGCGUUGCUCGGAAUUACUGGGCGUAAAGGGCGCGUAGGCGGACAGCUUAGUCAGAGGUGAAAGCCCAGGGCUCAACCUUGGAAUUGCCUUUGAUACUGGCUGUCUUGAGUUUGGGAGAGGUGAGUGGAACUCCGAGUGUAGAGGUGAAAUUCGUAGAUAUUCGGAAGAACACCAGUGGCGAAGGCGACACACUGGCUCAUUACUGACGCUGAGGCGCGAAAGCGUGGGGAGCAAACAGGAUUAGAUACCCUAGUAGUCC